AGCGAACGCUGGCGGCAGGCUUAACACAUGCAAGUCGAGCGGGCGUAGCAAUACGUCAGCGGCAGACGGGUGAGUAACGCGUGGGAACAUACCUUUUGGUUCGGAACAACACAGGGAAACUUGUGCUAAUACCGGAUAAGCCCUUACGGGGAAAGAUUUAUCGCCGAAAGAUUGGCCCGCGUCUGAUUAGCUAGUUGGUGAGGUAACGGCUCACCAAGGCGACGAUCAGUAGCUGGCUGAGAGGAUGAUCAGCCACAUUGGGACUGAGACACGGCCCAAACUCCUACGGGAGGCAGCAGUGGGGAAUAUUGGACAAUGGGCGCAAGCCUGAUCCAGCCAUGCCGCGUGAGUGAUGAAGGCCCUAGGGUUGUAAAGCUCUUUUGUGCGGGAAGAUAAUGACGGUACCGCAAGAAUAAGCCCCGGCUAACUUCGUGCCAGCCGCCGCUGU
Molecule: ribosomal RNA, 448 nt
Filed under: uncultured bacterium
Lineage: Bacteria
Description: bacterial SSU rRNA
Rfam family: Bacterial small subunit ribosomal RNA
Source: RNAcentral